RNAcentral lists this ribosomal RNA (2529 nucleotides) under Triticum aestivum (bread wheat). RNAcentral's name for it is "partial small subunit ribosomal RNA". Lineage: Eukaryota; Viridiplantae; Streptophyta; Magnoliopsida; Poales; Poaceae. The record is from RNAcentral.
AUGGGGAAGAGAUUGCUCUCAAAAAGCUUCGUCACAUGCCUGGGCUUGAUGACACAAUUUAGGAAUGAGUUUAAUCACCUUAUGAGGGCCCAACAUCCAAAUAUUACCCAAUUGGUUGGCUACUGCUAUAAUAUAGGUCAUCAGCGCAUUAAGUACGGUGGUGAAUAUAUUUUCGCCCUUGUGGAAGAAAGAGUACUCUGCUUUGAAUACUUGCAAGGUGGAAGCCUUGACAAUCAUAUUUCUGAUGAAUCGUGUGGACUCGAUUGGCCCACACGUUUCAAAAUUAUCAAGGGAGUCUGUGAGGGAUUAAAUUACCUACAUAAUGGAUGCAAAGAUCCAAUUUACCAUCUUGACUUGAAACCUGCGAAUGUUUUACUGGACAAGAACAUGUUCCCGAAAAUUGGAGACUUUGGUUUGUCAAGACUCUUUCCUUUAUCACAAACCUAUAUAACAAGCAAAAUUAUAGGAACACCAUAUAUACCAUGCAGUGGAUACAUGCCACCAGAAUACAUUGAGAGACGCGAAAUCACAUCGAAGUAUGAUGUAUUCAGUUUGGGUGUUAUAAUUGUGCGGGUAAUAGCAGGAGAUGAAGGCUACUCCAAAUGUGCAUAUAUGUCUUUGGAAGAUUUUCUUGAGCAUGUACAUGGAAACUGGGGAAAACGGCUGAAGGAAACAAUGGCGUUGCAUACAUCAGAGCAAGUUAAGACGUGCAUUGAAAUAGCGUUAAGGUGUAUGGAGGUUGAUCGUGAGAAAAGGCCUACUAUAGCCGAGAUUGUCGAUGAACUAAACUUGGUUGAUACUGCAGAAAGUUUGCCUACAGGCCAGGUCGCGAACUUCCAAAGCAAGCAAAACUCAAACUCAGAGCGCGGAGGCAGAAUCGUAUUCUCUGCCACCUACAGGCCCCCGGUGCCAUUCGACAUCUUCUCCUGCCCUGUCUCACCUUGGUCCACAGAUGAUGAGCUCCACCUCACCGAUGGUGUGUCUGACAACUACAACGGGAGCCCCAUCCCUCCCGCCGCGCUGAAGACCCUCCUCAAGAGCCCGAAGCUGGCAAACGAGGUUGAUGUGACCGACGCGGAUGUCGACGCCGGCGACGUCUCUGGCCUGGUCUUCGUCUCCGAGAGGGACAAUGGCCUUGAGACGCUAUACAUUGCCAUAUGCUUUAAUGCUGAUAACAAGGUCAAGGUAUUCUCCCUUGCUGACAUCUUUGGAGCCGCCGACUUCAGCAGCAUGCGCCUGGAGGACAGUGGCUGCAUCGGCGGCGGCUACAGCGUGGGAUCUCACAGCGUCGACCACUGUCUCAUCUUCGUCUCCACAAAGGAGCCUGUGCAUGUACGUCGUGGCCCUUGGACCGCCGUGUACAAAACCAACCUUACAACAGGCAUGACGGAGCGCCUCACGCCACAAGGGAUAUUUGAUUUGAGUCCGGCCGUUUCGCCCUCAGGGAAGACGGUAGCAGUGGCGUCAUUUCAGAGCAAGAGUUGGAACGGCGACACUGCGAACCUGAAGACUGACAUCUACGUGAUGAACUUGGAUAGCGACCAGUGUCAGGGCCAGGGGCGCAAGCUAAUCAUCAAGAAUGGCGGCUGGCCAUCCUGGGGCAGCGACGACAUCAUCUUCUUUCAUCGACUCACCAGUAUGGCCCUUCUAUCCAGCCUGAUUGAAACAUUUUGGGCUGUGUUCCGGUACGACAUCAACACCGAGGAGACCGUCCAGGUUACUCCGGGAGGAUUGGAUGCGGUGACUCCUGCGGCCAUAAGCGAGACCAAAGUAGCGGUGGCGACCAUCCGCCAAGAGCACAAGUCCAGCAACGUCCGUGUGCAGGCACAGUACCGGCACAUUGAGAUCUUUGACAUGGAUGUGCCGGGGCUGCCACCGUUGCAGAUCACCCGUAAGAUGAGGCAAAAAGGCGAUCACUACAACCCAUUUGUGCUGGAUGGUGGGAGCUGCAUUGGAUACCACCGCUGCAGGAGUGAGAGUGACCUUGUGCAGAAUGGAGACGACGUCCCUCAGAACUUGCACAGGCUAGAGUCCCCCAUGAGGGACGUCGGUUUACUUCGGGUAUCUGGCAUGUUCCCGACCAUUUCGAAGGACGGCUCCAAGCUCGCCUUUGUUAACAGUGAGUUCAAAGCAGUGUUUGUAGUGGACAGCCAAGGGCUGCGUAUCAUAUACGAGGGAAGGAGCCGAAACUGCGUCUUCUCCCCUGUGUGGAACCAGAACCUUGACAGGGACAUCCUCUAUGUGUGCAUAGGCACCACCUUGAACUCCCACCGACUUGAGAUCUUUGCCAUCUGGAAUGCCUCUGGCCCCGCAACAGGGCAAAAUGUCGUAAGACUCACCAUUGGUGGGUACAACAACGCAUACCCGUCGAGCAACCCAGAUGGCGACAAAUUUGUCUUCAGGUCAACAAGGGAUGGAUUGGCACCGCACAAGAACCUGUACAUAGUGAUAACGAGCAAUUUGGGGAACAUUCGAAGAAGUGGCACAGACAUAACGAAGAAUUCGAGGAACCUUGGCAGACGCGGCUGA